AUUGAACGCUGGCGGCAUGCCUUACACAUGCAAGUCGAACGGCAGCACGGGGGCAACCCUGGUGGCGAGUGGCGAACGGGUGAGUGAUACAUCGGAAUGUACCCAGUAGUGGGGGAUAACUAGUCGAAAGAUUAGCUAAUACCGCAUACGCACUAUGGUGGAAAGCGGGGGAUCGCAAGACCUCGCGCUAUUGGAGCAGCCGAUGUCCGAUUAGGUAGUUGGUGGGGGUAAAAAGCCUACCAAGCCUGCGAUCGGUAACUGGUCUGAGAGGACGACCAGUCACACUGGGACUGAGACACGGCCCAGACUCCUACGGGAGGCAGCAGUGGGGAAUUUUGGACAAUGGGGGAAACCCUGAUCCAGCAAUGCCGCGUGUGUGAAGAAGGCCUUCGGUUGUAAACUGCUUUGUACGGUAACGAAAAAGACUACUCUCUAAUACAGGGGUGAA
This 448-nucleotide ribosomal RNA is filed under the name uncultured bacterium. RNAcentral describes it as "bacterial SSU rRNA". It matches the Rfam family "Bacterial small subunit ribosomal RNA", at positions 30 to 476 of the family's 1533-position model. The record is from RNAcentral.